Long non-coding RNA from Daktulosphaira vitifoliae (grape phylloxera), 270 nucleotides. RefSeq lists it as uncharacterized. The transcript has 2 exons. Lineage: Eukaryota; Metazoa; Arthropoda; Insecta; Hemiptera; Phylloxeridae. The record is from RefSeq and is a predicted model, not a curated record.
UAUUUUUUGAGUGUUUUAUCAUCUGGAAUGCCAUUUGACUUAUUAAAAAUCGUUACUGUUAAUAUCACGAAUAAAAACAUUGUUUUCUUCUUCAUCAAAAAAAUAAUUAUUUUCUUUACGCCAAUUUUAAAAACNCGUAUACAAUACGUUAUGAACUUAAAAUGAAUCUAUUGAAGUUUUGUCUUUUCAAUCACCUUUUUAUUCUGUAGUGCUAUUGAGAAAUGUUUUAUUUAAACAAUUUUAGAGCUAUCGAUUCACUCCUUGGAAAUC